CGAAUCCACCGUGGAAUUUCAGUAUCAUGCAUUGUUUCUUCAGAAACAUCCAAAACCAACCUAAAAUAAGAGGCAGAAGCCAGGGCUUUGAUUUCUUGCCCACAGCUUAGGAGCAAGUUAAAAGUCUAAAGGCCAUAAAAACGGAUGUAGAAAUUUAGCAGAAGAUCAAUCACAGCGGCAAAUCCAUUAAGGGAGCUAUUGUCUUCAUUGAUAUUUUUAUGACUAUUUGGUGUCUUCUGCAUAUUCACACACAGAGCUAUCUCAUCCUAGACAUGAGAAAUUCUAAUGUCAAUCAAGUUCUCAACAAUCUUAUGUUCAAGGCAGCUGUGUCAUCUGUGUGAAUGACACUUCAUGGAGUUGUGCAGUGCACAACCUGUGCAUCAACACAUGGUGUCCCCAAUCAUACACCUGCAAAUAUUAUUGAAAUCCAAAACCUCUUUUAUUUGUUAAAGGCGUAACUCAUAUAGUAGUAUCAGGUCAGAAUGGUUACUUAUGAAAUAAAACUGUAAAGAUAAACAUCAUUAUUACUUUCUGAAAUGCGCACACAAAUAGAGACAAACGGAAUUUAGCCUUUGGCUCGGAUACACAAAAACAUUUAUUUUUUUUCCAGUUAAUUUAGUUUUAUGGCUUCUUAUAAAGAGGAGUAGAAGAGUUCUUAAAAUUCAAAAAUUGACCUUUGCUUUUGUAGUGGAAUUUGUAGACACAUUCUUUUCAGAAAAUGACAGAAAAAAUACUAUAUCAUUUCUAAAUUGUGGCAGGAUAGGAUGAGCACAGGGGUCAAAGUCCUCCUGAUGCAGGUUUACACCCCUUGUUGCUUCGCUUUGUAUAUGUGGCUUUGGAAAAAAUCACUCCUACUCUUUAGUUUUUCUCAUCAGUGAAAUGGAAAUGACAAUGCCUAUCUUUGAAGAUCAUUUGUGAUGAUUAAAAUAUGGAAACUAUUUGCCUUAUAAUGGGUAUUCUAUCAGUGUUCACAAUCAUUACUGUAGGUAGUAAUAAGAUCCUUUAUCAGAUACAACAGUCACUCCAGCUCCCUUGCUUCCAUAGACUAAAUGUUUACUGUAUGCUGGAUACUGUGCUUGGCACUUGGAAUGUAGCAACCAGUAGAUUAUAAUAAAGGUAUCUGCCCUCAUAUGGCUGCCAGUCUAGAGCAUUUCUAUUUUUAUGAGAAGAUUAUAUCAAAUAAUGACAGGUGCCUCAAUGAUGACUCCUUUAUUUUGAGUACCUUGGCAAAUAUAGCAGUUGAAGCCUACAAGAAGAGUUUCUCGGCCAAAGAGAAUAUAUAUCUCCAGUGUAGAUAUGUUUAUGGAACAUGCUAUUCCAGGGUUCUUGGAUACUAGACACCAGCACUAAGGAAGUGCUGGAUUCAUUGCAGACUGAAAUCGAUUUAGGUGUAUGGGGAAGCACACUCUUAUCCCUUGUGAUGUUACCGUGGUGGGUGUGCAUACCUCCUGACCAACUAUUAACACACAUUUACCAGAUAAGAGGUGGGGUGGGUGCAUCAGCCGGCAUCUGAUGUCUCAGCUCCAACAUAAUGGAGGCUAUGACAGAGCCCUCAUCCCCACAAAUUCUCUUCCUAAAUUCACAAAGACGCUGAGGAAAAGCACAAUUGUAAAUGUCAGAGAUCCCCUAAAAGAUGAAACAUGGUUGUCUGUGAAAUGAGCAGUGUAAAUGGUGACAUGCAUCAAUGAUUUCAUCCAUGCAGCCACUGUGCAAAAAAUCACAUUUUUUUGUGCAGAUAGACACUAAACCCAAAUAUAAAUUAUCGUUUCCCUAAGAGAGGGAGAAAGCAGGCAUGUGUGUUUUUUGUGUGUGUGCAUGCAUACGUGAUGUGUGUGUGAGAAAGAUCUAUUUCAUGCCCUCGUGGUGUGGACUGAGCCCCAAGACUCAUGACUGAGGCACCAUUAGGGGCCACUUGGUGACAGACAGUCCUGUAGAUUACAAAGAAUGUGGAUCGUGUCAUUAUCUCCGAAGUGACUCACAGGUGGGGAAGUAGGAACAAGAUAAACAGUAAACUAAAAGAAAUUAGCAAGAAAAAAAA
Molecule: long non-coding RNA, 2038 nt
Organism: Macaca fascicularis (crab-eating macaque)
Lineage: Eukaryota; Metazoa; Chordata; Mammalia; Primates; Cercopithecidae
Source: Ensembl